CGACUGUGAUGGUCAAAUUGGUUAGAAGGCACUUGUAAUGCUUUACCGACUAGAAUCCAAUUCCGUCAGAUCCCCCGACGCGGCGCCCAGUGCGAAUACCGCGGUGGUCCCCUAUCCACUCGGGUAACCAGUGAUGAUUAGAGGGACCCUAGGAAAUGGAGAGUAUGCUUCAGGGAGGUUUCACUCUGCAGAGUAUCUCCCCCGUCGCAUGGCGUGUUGGAUUACGCUUCGCUCGGGGACUUGGACUAGGUGGUUGAGAUGGAGAUGUCAACUCCACUAUU
RNAcentral lists this signal recognition particle RNA (281 nucleotides) under Pseudomassariella vexata. Its description in RNAcentral is "Fungal signal recognition particle RNA". It matches the Rfam family "Fungal signal recognition particle RNA". The record is from Rfam by way of RNAcentral. Lineage: Eukaryota; Fungi; Ascomycota; Sordariomycetes; Amphisphaeriales; Pseudomassariaceae.